This is a long non-coding RNA of Vespula pensylvanica (western yellowjacket), 256 nucleotides long. RefSeq lists it as uncharacterized. The transcript has 2 exons. The record is from RefSeq and is a predicted model, not a curated record. Lineage: Eukaryota; Metazoa; Arthropoda; Insecta; Hymenoptera; Vespidae.
GUAAAUUCUUUUGCAAGAGGACCUUUCCCACUUGCCCAUCUAAUCUCGAUCUCUUUUAAUGAUGCACCAAGAACUUUAAUAAGUUCUAAGAAUUUUCUCCAUUUUCGUACAUACUGUGCUAUCUCCUCGGAUUCCUAAAAGAACAAGUUGAUGGAACAACUCUAUCUAUAUCAACUCUUUGAUCGCAGAAUCACACAUGACUCCUUAACAGUGUUGUGGCAUAAUAAACAAGUUAAUAAAAUAAAUUCUAAUGAAA